CACGUAGGGUGCGAGCGUUGUCCGGAUUUACUGGGCGUAAAGAGCGCGCAGGCGGUCGUUCAAGUCGCGUGUGAAAGCCCCCGGCUCAACUGGGGAGGGUCACGCGAUACUGAUCGACUCGAAGGCAGGAGAGGGUAGUGGAAUUCCCGGUGUAGUGGUGAAAUGCGUAGAUAUCGGGAGGAACACCAGUGGCGAAGGCGACUACCUGGCCUGUUCUUGACGCUGAGGCGCGAAAGCUAGGGGAGCAAACGGG
RNAcentral lists this ribosomal RNA (253 nucleotides) under uncultured bacterium. Its description in RNAcentral is "partial 16S ribosomal RNA". It matches the Rfam family "Bacterial small subunit ribosomal RNA", at positions 524 to 776 of the family's 1533-position model. The record is from RNAcentral.